RNAcentral lists this ribosomal RNA (626 nucleotides) under uncultured fungus. RNAcentral describes it as "eukaryotic LSU rRNA". It matches the Rfam family "Eukaryotic large subunit ribosomal RNA", at positions 24 to 664 of the family's 3401-position model. Lineage: Eukaryota; Fungi. The record is from RNAcentral.
CCCGCUGAACUUAAGCAUAUCAAUAAGCGGAGGAAAAGAAACCAACAGGGAUUGCCUCAGUAACGGCGAGUGAAGCGGCAACAGCUCAAAUUUGAAAGCUGGCUCCUUCGGGGCCCGCGUUGUAAUUUGUAGAGGAUGCUUCGGGUGCGGCGCCAGUCUAAGUUCUUUGGAAUAAGACGUCAUAGAGGGUGAGAAUCCCGUCUGUGACUGGUUGCCUGUGCCCGUGUGAAGCUCCUUCGACGAGUCGAGUUGUUUGGGAAUGCAGCUCAAAAUGGGAGGUAUAUUUCUUCUAAAGCUAAAUAUUGGCCAGAGACCGAUAGCGCACAAGUAGAGUGAUCGAAAGAUGAAAAGCACUUUGGAAAGAGAGUUAAACAGUACGUGAAAUUGUUGAAAGGGAAGCGCUUGCAAUCAGACUUGCGCGGCGUCGAUCAGCCUGGGUUCUCCCUGGUGCACUCGGCGCCGCUCAGGCCAGCAUCAGUUUCGGCGGUAGGAUAAAGGCUUAGGGAACGUGGCUCGCUUCGGCGAGCGUUAUAGCCCUAGGUGCAAUGCUGCCUGCCGGGACUGAGGACCGCGCUUCGGCUAGGAUGCUGGCGUAAUGGUUGUAAGCGACCCGUCUUGAAACACGG